AGGAAAUCCCCCACACUGGUACUGAGACACGGACCAGAUUCCUACGGAGGCAGCAGUAAGGAAUAUUGGUCAAUGGGCGAAGCCUGAACCAGCCAUGCCGCGUGCAGGAUGACUGCCCUAUGGGUUGUAAACUGCUUUUGUCCAGGAAUAAACCUAAAUACGUGUAUUUAGCUGAAUGUACUGGAAGAAUAAGGAUCGGCUAACUCCGUGCCAGCAGCCGCGGUAAUACGGAGGAUCCGAGCGUUAUCCGGAUUUAUUGGGUUUAAAGGGUGCGUAGGCGGCCUAUUAAGUCAGGGGUGAAAUACGGUGGCUCAACCAUCGCAGUGCCUUUGAUACUGAUGGGCUUGAAUCCAUUUGAAGUGGGCGGAAUAAGACAAGUAGCGGUGAAAUGCAUAGAUAUGUCUUAGAACUCCGAUUGCGAAGGCAGCUCACUAAGCUGGUAUUGACGCUGAUGCACGAAAGCGUGGGGAUCGAACAGGAUUAGAUACCCUGGUAGUCCACGCCCUAAACGAUGAUAACUCGAUGUUGGCGAUAGACAGCCAGCGUCUUAGCGAAAGCGUUAAGUUAUCCACCUGGGGAGUACGCCCGCAAGGGUGAAACUCAAAGGAAUUGACGGGGGCCCGCACAAGCGGAGGAGCAUGUGGUUUAAUUCGAUGAUACGCGAGGAACCUUACCCGGGCUUGAAAGUUAGUGAAGGAUGCAGAGACGCAUCCGUCCUUCGGGACACGAAACUAGGUGCUGCAUGGCUGUCGUCAGCUCGUGCCGUGAGGUGUUGGGUUAAGUCCCGCAACGAGCGCAACCCCUAUGUUUAGUUGCCAGCAUUUAAGGUGGGGACUCUAAACAGACUGCCUGUGCAAACAGUGAGGAAGGUGGGGACGACGUCAAGUCAUCAUGGCCCUUACGUCCGGGGCUACACACGUGCUACAAUGGAUGGUACAGCGGGCAGCUACAUAGCAAUAUGGUGCUAAUCUCUAAAAGCCAUUCACAGUUCGGAUUGGGGUCUGCAACUCGACCCCAUGAAGUUGGAUUCGCUAGUAAUCGCGUAUCAGCAAUGACGCGGUGAAUACGUUCCCGGGCCUUGUACACACCGCCCGUCAAGCCAUGAAAGUUGGGGGUACCUAAAGCAUGUGACCGCAAGGAGCGUGUUAGGGA
RNAcentral lists this ribosomal RNA (1152 nucleotides) under Sphingobacterium canadense. RNAcentral's name for it is "bacterial SSU rRNA". It matches the Rfam family "Bacterial small subunit ribosomal RNA", at positions 298 to 1463 of the family's 1533-position model. The record is from RNAcentral. Lineage: Bacteria; Pseudomonadati; Bacteroidota; Sphingobacteriia; Sphingobacteriales; Sphingobacteriaceae.